AGUUUGAUCAUGGCUCACGACGAACGCUGGCGGCGUGCCUAAUACAUGCAAGUCGAACGAAUUGGUGCUUGCAUCAUUGAGUGGCGAACUGGUGAGUAACACGUGGGAAACCUGCCCAGAAGCGGGGGAUAACACCUGGAAACAGAUGCUAAUACCGCAUAACAACUUGACCGCACGGUCCAAGUUGAAAGAUGUCCGUAUCAAUUUUGGAUGGUCCCGCGGCAUAUUACCUAGAUGGUGGGGUAACGGCUCACCAUGGCAAUGAUACGUAGCCGACCUGAAAGGGUAAUCGGCCACAUUGGGACUGAGACACGGCCCAGACUCCUACUGGAGGCAGCAGUAAGGAAUCUUCCACAAUGGACGAAAGUCUGAUGGAGCAACGCCGCGUGAGUGAAGAAGGGUUUCAGC
This 408-nucleotide ribosomal RNA is filed under the name uncultured Lactobacillus sp. Its description in RNAcentral is "bacterial SSU rRNA". It matches the Rfam family "Bacterial small subunit ribosomal RNA", at positions 10 to 422 of the family's 1533-position model. Lineage: Bacteria; Bacillati; Bacillota; Bacilli; Lactobacillales; Lactobacillaceae. The record is from RNAcentral.